Molecule: RNA transcript, 2530 nt
Organism: Quercus robur (English oak)
Lineage: Eukaryota; Viridiplantae; Streptophyta; Magnoliopsida; Fagales; Fagaceae
Gene name: sodium/proton antiporter 1
Exons: 11
Source: RefSeq, a predicted model, not a curated record
UAUAGCCUUACUCCCAAUCAGUGACCGUUCCCUUCUGCAAAGAGUUUCUCAGUCACCCAGAGACAUAACCAAAGCAAAAUAGCAAAUCCCAUGUCCCAUGAGGCCAUGAGGCCAUGACCAUAUCUAAGUUGACCCACAAACCCAAGACCAAUAAAAAAUCACUGCUUCCACUCCCAUUUCCACUCCUUCCACCGAAUCCCAUUCCAUGCAACUUGGAAUAACAAGACAAGAACAACAGUACUACUGAGUCACUGACCCAAAACCCCCCCUCUUCUUCUUCAAUCCUUAACAGCUCUCCUUGAAAACUCAGCUUUGCUCCAAUGGCUUCCCUCUCAAUCUCAAUUGGGACCCACUUAUCUUCAACCUGCCAUUUCAAGAACUAUUCACUUCCUCAAACCCAAAACUCAGUUCCUUCCCAUCAUUGCUUUGGCUCAUCUCUGUGUAGAACCAGAGGUCCAAGAUUGCUUGGCAAUGGGGUUCUUGCUAGAGCUGAAGAUAAGGCCAGAGGCUCUACGUCUUCUUCUUCUUCUUCGUCUCAGCCUCGACCAAACUCUAACUCUGAGAACCAGCUAGAGGAGCUGACGCAAAAAUCUGGAUCAUGUGAUCCUUUAUGUUCACUAGAUGAAAUAAGUUCAAGUGAUUUUGAAGCCACUUACCAGCCCAAGACUGAUUUGCUGAAAGCUCUUGCAGUAAUUGCAGCAGCUGCAACAGGGGCAGUGGCAAUUAACCAAUCAUGGGUUGCUGCAAAUCAGGAUGUUGCGAUGGCAUUGCUAUUUGGAAUAGGAUAUGCAGGCAUCAUUUUUGAAGAAUCUUUAGCUUUCAAUAAAAGUGGAGUAGGAUUACUGAUGGCCGUGAGCUUAUGGGCAGUGCGUAGCAUUGGGGCUCCUUCAACUGAUAUAGCUGUUUCAGAGCUAACGAAUGCAUCUGCAGAAGUCAGUGAAAUAGUAUUUUUCUUGUUUGGUGCAAUGACCAUUGUGGAGAUAAUUGAUGCUCAUCAAGGUUUUAAGCUGGUUACCGACAAUAUAACCACCCGAAAGCCGCGGACUCUCCUCUGGGUGAUUGGUUUGGUGACUUUUUUCCUUAGUUCAGUCCUUGAUAACCUGACGUCUACCAUUGUCAUGGUUUCUUUAUUGAGGAAACUAGUACCUCCAUCAGAAUUUCGCAAGCUUCUGGGAGCUGUUGUUGUGAUAGCAGCAAAUGCAGGUGGUGCAUGGACUCCCAUAGGUGAUGUUACCACUACUAUGCUGUGGAUACAUGGUCAGAUAUCAACUUUGCAGACAAUGAAGGGCUUAUUUGUACCUUCAGCUGUUUCUCUAGCUGUCCCACUGGCUCUUAUGUCCCUGACUAGUGAAGUUAAUGGAAAGGGACAGGAUUCUUCCAGUGUUAUGGCAUCUGAACAGAUGGCUCCCCGAGGACAGCUUGUUUUUUUUGUAGGUAUUGGAGCUUUGAUUUUUGUUCCAGUGUUCAAGGCCCUAACCGGUUUGCCUCCUUUUAUGGGUAUCCUGCUUGGACUUGGAGUUCUUUGGAUUCUAACUGAUGCUAUCCACUAUGGUGAAUCUGAAAGGCAGAAGUUAAAAGUACCACAAGCUUUAUCACGGAUUGACACUCAAGGAGUUCUUUUCUUCCUUGGAAUACUUUUGUCCGUUAGCAGCCUUGAGGCUGCGGGGAUUCUUCGGGAAUUGGCGAAUUACCUUGACGCUCACAUUCCUAGUAGUGAAGUGAUUGCCGGUGCAAUAGGAGUCGUAUCAGCAAUUAUAGAUAAUGUUCCACUGGUUGCAGCAACGAUGGGGAUGUAUGACCUCACCUCCUUCCCCCAGGAUUCUGAGUUUUGGCAGUUGAUUGCAUAUUGUGCUGGCACCGGUGGAUCCAUGUUAGUUAUUGGCUCAGCAGCUGGAGUAGCAUUCAUGGGAAUGGAAAAGGUGGACUUCUUUUGGUACUUACGGAAGGUGAGUGGUUUUGCUUUUGCUGGUUAUGCUGCUGGUAUUGCCGCCUAUCUAGCGAUACAUAACCUCCCCAUCUCCCUACCUACAACUGUAGCUCAGGUUCAUAAAUUAUAGAGAACUUUUGCUUGGUUUUUUCCCUGGCUUCAAACAAGGCAGUAAAAAAUUGUGCCAAUUCGCACGAGUGUAGUGAAGAUUGUGACAACCUUCUUGUUCGGAAUGUGGACAUGGUUUUUUGAGAUAUAGAAAGUCAAAGGAAGACCAGUGGAAAAGAUAGGUUGAGAUCAUUUUGACGUCAUGUCAAUCAGAUUUACAAUAUGAUGAAUUCUGUGAGAAAUGUAAUUAUGAGGGAUAGAACCCGAGCUCAAAGAUACACAUGGUACCGGAUACCACCAGACUACAAGGCUCGGUGGUAGUUUCCACUCCUUUAUAACAAUAAACAAUUGCAAAGUACACAUCUCUGAAUAUACUAUAGUGAUGUAUUUGCAAGAAGUUUAACUCGACUUACUUUUAAGAUGUAGUUUUGAAGCAGUAAAGAAAAUUAAAUAUAGUUAAGACAGCUUGCAUUUCAGGGAGCCCUCCUUGCAUUC